This is a long non-coding RNA of Cyprinus carpio (common carp), 500 nucleotides long. The record is from Ensembl. NCBI's taxonomy places the organism in Eukaryota, Metazoa, Chordata, Actinopteri, Cypriniformes, Cyprinidae.
GUGGAGUUUAAGCAAAAAGCUCACACACAUGCACAGGCACUGACCAGAAAGAUGCCACUGAAACCUCGAGAACAUUGCUGGUUUGAAUCUCAUACCAUCAGAUGCCAAGAUCUCGCUGCUUUUGAAUAACCUGGAUGUUCUCAGCAUCGUUUCAUCUGAAAAAUAAGGAAAAAUCUAAUUGAAGAAGAAGUAAACCUGAGAGAAUUGUGGAACAGAGGUAUGAAGGAGGGGCUUGCUAAAGGAAGCCAGGACAGUCUCGCCAUGCAAUUUAAUCACUGUAUACCCAGGAGGAAGCUGCGGUCCUGUGUUUACUGGCACGUUAGAUCCAAGCGUCAGGUGCUCCUGCCAUGAUUAUGAGUGUCCAAUCUACAUCUGUAUGUAAAUAUAUGUCGCUUCUUGCAUUCUAAAAACGGAAUAAUGAUUGCAUCGAGAAGCCUCCUCCUCAAAAAAUUACAUAUUCUAUUAAUAAAUCAAAUAAUAUAUAGAUUAUUUAAUUAAAA